RNAcentral lists this ribosomal RNA (253 nucleotides) under uncultured bacterium. RNAcentral's name for it is "partial 16S ribosomal RNA". It matches the Rfam family "Bacterial small subunit ribosomal RNA", at positions 524 to 776 of the family's 1533-position model. The record is from RNAcentral.
UACGUAGGGGGCAAGCGUUGUCCGGAUUUAUUGGGCGUAAAGAGCGUGUAGGCGGCCAUACAGGUCCGUUGUGAAAACUGGAGGCUUAACCUCCAGACGUCGAUGGAAACCGUAUGGCUAGAGUCCGGAAGAGGAGAGUGGAAUUCCUGGUGUAGCGGUGAAAUGCGUAGAUAUCAGGAAGAACACCAGUGGCGUAGGCGACUAACUGGGCCGUAACUGACGCUGAGGAACGAAAGCCAGGGGAGCGAAUGGG